Molecule: long non-coding RNA, 348 nt
Organism: Apis dorsata (giant honeybee)
Lineage: Eukaryota; Metazoa; Arthropoda; Insecta; Hymenoptera; Apidae
Exons: 2
Source: RefSeq, a predicted model, not a curated record
GCUACGCAACCCCAGAAACCGCAACGCGACUCGAGCUGCUGCAGUGCGCAACAACCCCUCAACUGAUCGACACCGAUCUUGUGAAAUUUAUUUUCAAGCAAAUAUACAACCUAUACUCCAGAUAUCAAUGGCACAUGAAUAUCUAUUGGCACCAAGAAGAAUUUCUGGAGCUCUAUACCAUAAAGUGACUACUUCAUGUGUAUAUACUCUAACUGGUAUUCCAAAUGCUCUUCCAAGUCCAAAAUCUGCUACCUUGAUCAAUCCUGAUUUGUCAAUUAAUAAAUUUUGUGGUUUCAGAUCACGAUGAAAUAUUCUACGUUUAUGACAGAAUAAAAUAGCACGUGUAAU